Molecule: ribosomal RNA, 1285 nt
Filed under: metagenome
Description: bacterial LSU rRNA
Rfam family: Bacterial large subunit ribosomal RNA
Source: RNAcentral
AAACCGACACAGGUGGGCAGGAUGAAAAUUCUAAGGCGCUUGAGAGAACUCAGGAGAAGGAACUCGGCAAAUUAACACCGUAACUUCGGGAGAAGGUGUGCCCCGGUAGCGUGUAGAGACUUGCUCUCGAAGCGCGAUGGGGUUGCAGUGAAAUGGUGGCUGCGACUGUUUAAUAAAAACACAGCACUCUGCAAACACGAAAGUGGACGUAUAGGGUGUGACGCCUGCCCGGUGCCGGAAGGUUAAGUGAUGGGGUGCAAGCUCUUGAUCGAAGCCCCGGUAAACGGCGGCCGUAACAAUAACGGUCCUAAGGUAGCGAAAUUCCUUGUCGGGUAAGUUCCGACCUGCACGAAUGGCGUAACGAUGGCCACACUGUCUCCUCCUGGGACUCAGCGAAGUUGAAAUGUUUGUGAAGAUGCAAUCUACCCGCGGCUAGACGGAAAGACCCCAUGAACCUUUACUGUAGCUUUGCAUUGGACUUUGAACCGGUUUGUGUAGGAUAGGUGGGAGACUGUAAAGCCGGGACGCUAGUUUCGGUGGAGUCAACCUUGAAAUACCACCCUGAUUUGUUUGAGGUUCUAUCCUUGGUCCGUGAAUCCGGAUCGGGGACCGUGCAUGGUAGGCAGUUUGACUGGGGCGGUCUCCUCCCAAAAGGUAACGGAGGAGUACGAAGGUACGCUUGGGGCGGUCGGACAUCGCCCACAAAGUGCAAUGGCAAAAGCGUGCUUGACUGCGAGACCCACAAGUCGAGCAGGUACGAAAGUAGGUCAUAGUGAUCCGGUGGUUCUGUAUGGAAGGGCCAUCGCUCAACGGAUAAAAGGUACUCUGGGGAUAACAGGCUAAUUCCUCCCAAGAGUUCAUAUCGACGGGGGAGUUUGGCACCUCGAUGUCGGCUCAUCACAUCCUGGGGCUGUAGUCGGUCCCAAGGGUAUGGCUGUUCGCCAUUUAAAGUGGUACGCGAGCUGGGUUUAAAACGUCGUGAGACAGUUUGGUCCCUAUCUGCCGUGGGCGCUGGAAAUUUGAAGGGGGCUGCUCCUAGUACGAGAGGACCGGAGUGGACGAACCUCUGGUGUACCGGUUAUGACGCCAGUCGUAUCGCCGGGUAGCUAAGUUCGGAAGAGAUAAACGCUGAAAGCAUCUAAGCGUGAAACUCGCCUUAAGAUAAGAUUUCCCGGAGUCUUGAACUCCCUGAAGGGUCGUCGAAGACCACGACGUUGAUAGGUCAGGUGUGGAAGCGCAGCAAUGCGUUAAGCUAACUGAUACUAAUUGCCCGUGCGGCUUGAUC